Acanthosepion pharaonis is the source of this 114-nucleotide non-coding RNA. NCBI's taxonomy places the organism in Eukaryota, Metazoa, Mollusca, Cephalopoda, Sepiida, Sepiidae. The record is from the annotation of a GenBank genome assembly.
UUAUGGCCAUAUCAUGUUGAAAAACCGGUUCUCAUACCAACAACGAAGUUAAGCAAAGUCGAGCAUGGUCAGUACCUAAAUGGGUGACCACUUGAGAAUACCAGGUACUGUAAG